Long non-coding RNA from Neogale vison (American mink), 1769 nucleotides. RefSeq lists it as uncharacterized. The record is from RefSeq and is a predicted model, not a curated record. NCBI's taxonomy places the organism in Eukaryota, Metazoa, Chordata, Mammalia, Carnivora, Mustelidae. The transcript is spliced from 3 exons.
CCCACCCGGGGGCCAGCGGGACCCCGCGGGCGCGGGGGUAGACGCCCCGCCUUGGGCGGAGGUCCUCCUCUCCAGUUUUCGCGACCCUAGUGGGCCCCUUUGCCGCGUAAGUUUCCCGCUGGACCAGUGGCUUCAGCAGCUCAAGACCCAGAGAGGAAGGUGGGGGGCACUUGAAUGUAGCCCCCCUUCUCUUUCUCCCAGCCUGGCGAUUUCUCUGUUGUCGGCUCAGGGAUUGGAGACUGCACAGUCCAGGAUCUCCCCGCUGGAGGAAAGCCAGCCUAGUCCCAGCUUUUCUCAGCCUCCUGGCACUACCCUCCCCCCCCCUGGGUAGGGGUCCUUCAGUAAGGGUUAGGAAUUCUCCCUGAGCCAAACCUGACUGGAAGGGGGGGGGCGGUCCAACCUGUCUGCCCCCCCCCCUUCUCCAGGGCACCUCUGAGUUGGCAAAUUGUUUCCUUUCUUUGCCUUGCUCCCCUCUCAGGGGUAUGUGCGGAGAGAAGCCUCCUGCUUGGCAAGGGUCUGAGAGGGGUUUGGCGGUCUGGGGUGCCCCUCCUGGGCAGGGGCAAGGGGAAUGCCAACUUUGGUUGGCAAAACUUUCAAGCCCCUAUUCCUUGGUUUCUUUGGUGAGGGUGCCAGUCUAGGACCUGUGCCCUGCUCCCACCCAGGCAGAAGCUGGGACAGGGCCAUGGGGCAGCCCUCCCCCAUCCCAUAUUUGAGUUUCAGAAAAUGAAAAAGCCACUUGGGGCUGGGAGAGCCCUUUGUGCUGCCUGGGACCUGGUGGGGAUGCUGCUGGUUGCUGGGGCUGGUGGGCGUGUGGAAGGAGUGGGCUGGGGCACGUGGGGGACCGGUCCUCCUUGUCUGCUCUGCCAGCCGGCCCUCCCAGCCACCCUGACCCCACACUGCCUCCAGCCCCAGGGAGGCUCGGGAGAGCAGCACUUGUCCCUAGGGCUGUCGCUGCCUCCGGGGCUCUGUUUGUUUCUUGGGCCGACACGCUGUACUCCAUAUCUCAGGGUUCCAGGACAUUGGACAAGGUGAUCAGGCCCGUCUGGCUCCCACUGCCUCCCGUGCAGGGUGGAACACCAGCUUGCCUUGGACCUGGCCCUUCCUACCAGCUGCUCCUCCUGUGCUGACCUGUCCUGGGGGUCAGCAGUGAGAGUCUGGGUCCAAGGCCCAGAGACCUGGCCCCGUGGGCCUGGCAGGCUGCACGCUGGGGUCACCAGAGUGGGCACUGGGGCUGUUCCCCAAGCCUCUGGCUCCCAGGGACCAGGGAGAAGGCUGCUGAGACUUCCCACUGGAGCAGGCUGGGCAGCGCGGCAGGAGGAGUGGGCCAGCCACGUACCGGCCAAAGUGGCAGAGAACCAGGUGUGUGGUGUCCGAGCCCUUGCCCACCCUCGUGGUGACUCAGCUGCCAGGGCCUCAGCCUUCCGUGGCUACUGGAAUUCCCAGUAGCCUUCCACAGGCCUCGGGAAUUCCCACGUGCUCCCUCUGUGCUCCCUCCCGGUGGCUCUCCUUCCCCCUCCUCCGCCACUCCUUCCCCUCUGCCUAUGCUCUGCUUGCCCCACCCCCAGAGGGAGCUGGGACCUCCCUUGUCCUCCCAGCCCUCCUGUGUCCUCACCCCUGGGCAUUCCCGAAGCACUGAGCCUCAGGAGGGCUGGGCUGCACCUUGGGUCCCCGCCUGUCCCUGCUGCUACUUCCCCCCUGCCUGCCCCAGGUGGGCCCAGCUGGAUCCUUCCCAGGGACCUGCUCCCAGCACCCAGGAGAAGCCCAAUAAA